UACAGAGGGUGCAAGCGUUGUUCGGAAUUAUUGGGCGUAAAGCGCGUGUAGGCGGCUUGGUAAGUCUGCUCUGAAAGCCCGGGGCUCAACCCCGGGAGGCGGGUGGAUACUGUCAAGCUCGAGUCCGGAAGAGGAGUGUGGAAUUCCUGGUGUAGCGGUGAAAUGCGCAGAUAUCGUAAGGAAGACCAGUGGCGAAGGCGGGUCUCUGGACAGUUCCUGACGCUGAGGAGCGAAAGCAUGGGGAGCGAACAGG
This 253-nucleotide ribosomal RNA is filed under the name uncultured bacterium. RNAcentral describes it as "partial 16S ribosomal RNA". It matches the Rfam family "Bacterial small subunit ribosomal RNA", at positions 524 to 776 of the family's 1533-position model. The record is from RNAcentral.